RNAcentral lists this ribosomal RNA (253 nucleotides) under uncultured bacterium. RNAcentral describes it as "partial 16S ribosomal RNA". It matches the Rfam family "Bacterial small subunit ribosomal RNA", at positions 524 to 776 of the family's 1533-position model. The record is from RNAcentral.
UACGGAGGGGGCUAGCGUUGUUCGGAAUUACUGGGCGUAAAGCGCACGUAGGCGGCUUUGUAAGUUAGAGGUGAAAGCCCGGAGCUCAACUCCGGAAUUGCCUUUAAGACUGCAUCGCUAGAAUUGUGGAGAGGUGAGUGGAAUUCCAGGUGUAGCGGUGAAAUGCGUAGAUAUCUGGAGGAACACCGGUGGCGAAGGCGGCAUCCUGGACCGGUAUUGACGCUGAGGCGCGACAGCGUGGGGAGCAAACAGG